AACGAACGCUGGCGGCAUGCCUAACACAUGCAAGUCGAACGAAGCCUUCGGGCUUAGUGGCGCACGGGUGCGUAACGCGUGGGAAUCUGCCCUUGGGUUCGGAAUAACAGUUAGAAAUGACUGCUAAUACCGAAUGAUGUCUUCGGACCAAAGAUUUAUCGCCCAAGGAUGAGCCCGCGUCGGAUUAGCUAGUUGGUGAGGUAAAGGCUCACCAAGGCGACGAUCCGUAGCUGGUCUGAGAGGAUGAUCAGCCACACUGGGACUGAGACACGGCCCAGACUCCUACGGGAGGCAGCAGUGGGGAAUAUUGGACAAUGGGCGAAAGCCUGAUCCAGCAAUGCCGCGUGAGUGAUGAAGCCUUAGGGUUGUAAAGCUCUUUACCCGGGAUGAUAAUGACAGUACCGGGAGAAUAAGCCCGGCUAACUCCGUGCCAGCAGCCGCGGUAAU
This 447-nucleotide ribosomal RNA is filed under the name uncultured bacterium. RNAcentral's name for it is "bacterial SSU rRNA". It matches the Rfam family "Bacterial small subunit ribosomal RNA", at positions 29 to 524 of the family's 1533-position model. The record is from RNAcentral.